This 273-nucleotide unclassified non-coding RNA is filed under the name Hevea brasiliensis (rubber tree). Lineage: Eukaryota; Viridiplantae; Streptophyta; Magnoliopsida; Malpighiales; Euphorbiaceae. The record is from RNAcentral.
GAGAGAGAGGCACGAAUGGGUAUGUAUGAGUAUGGAGGACAUUUAGGCAUAAAGUGAGGCAUUUACAUAUAGAGAAGCACAGAUGCCUAUGGUUAAUACUAGGGUUUGUAAUUCUAUGGUUGUCAUUCAAAUUUUUUCCCGUUUCUCUAUUUAAUAAUUUGCAAAUGAGGGAAUGAAAUGAAAAAAUCAAUAGUUGUAUAAUUGACAAAUUGAGUACCACAAAGAGGAUUACAGUAGCUCAAAUCGAAGGCAGAGGUAGAAGCACCAAGAGGA